This 231-nucleotide long non-coding RNA is filed under the name Mytilus galloprovincialis (Mediterranean mussel). The record is from RNAcentral. Lineage: Eukaryota; Metazoa; Mollusca; Bivalvia; Mytilida; Mytilidae.
UUACUAAACAUUCUUACUGCUUACAAUUAUCUCUAUCUAUAAUGAACUUGGCCCAGUAGUUUCAGUAGAAAAUGUUAGUAAAAAUUUACAAAUUUUAUGAAAAUUGUUAAAAUUGACUAUAAAGGACAAUAACUCCUUAGGGGGUCAAUUGACCAUUUUGGUCAUUUUAACUUGUUUUAGGUCUUACUUUGCUGUACAUUAUUGCUGUUUACAGUUUAUCUCUGUCUAUAA